GAUGAACGCUGGCGGCGUGCCUAAUACAUGCAAGUCGAACGAAACUUCUUUAUCACCGAGUGCUUGCACUCACCGAUAAAGAGUUGAGUGGCGAACGGGUGAGUAACACGUCGGCAACCUGCCCAAAAGAGGGGGAUAACACUUGGAAACAGGUGCUAAUACCGCAUAACCAUAGUUACCGCAUGGUAACUAUGUAAAAGGUGGCUAUACUACCGCUUUUGGAUGGGCCCGCGGCGCAUUAGCUAGUUGGUAGGGUAAAGGCUUACCAAGGCAAUGAUGCGUAGCCGAAUUGAGAGGUUGAUCGGCCACAUUGGGACUGAGACACGGCCCAAACUCCUACGGGAGGCAGCAGUAGGGAAUCUUCCACAAUGGGCGAAAGCCUGAUGGAGCAACGCCGCGUGGGUGAAGAAGGUCUUCGGAUCGUAAAACCCUGUUGUUAGAGAAGAAAGUGCGUGAGAGUAACUGUUCACGUUUCGACGGUAUCUAACCGGAAAGCCACGGCUAACUACGUG
This 512-nucleotide ribosomal RNA is filed under the name uncultured bacterium. RNAcentral's name for it is "partial 16S ribosomal RNA". It matches the Rfam family "Bacterial small subunit ribosomal RNA", at positions 28 to 507 of the family's 1533-position model. The record is from RNAcentral.